This 253-nucleotide ribosomal RNA is filed under the name uncultured bacterium. RNAcentral describes it as "partial 16S ribosomal RNA". It matches the Rfam family "Bacterial small subunit ribosomal RNA", at positions 524 to 776 of the family's 1533-position model. The record is from RNAcentral.
UACGUAGGGUGCAAGCGUUAAUCGGAAUUACUGGGCGUAAAGCGUGCGCAGGCGGUUCGUUAAGUCUGAUGUGAAAGCCCUGGGCUCAACCUGGGAAUGGCAUUGGAAACUGGCGACCUAGAGUGCGGUAGAGGGUAGUGGAAUUCCCGGUGUAGCAGUGAAAUGCGUAGAGAUCGGGAGGAACAUCCGUGGCGAAGGCGACUACCUGGGCCAGCACUGACACUGAGGCACGAAAGCGUGGGGAGCAAACAGG